RNAcentral lists this ribosomal RNA (809 nucleotides) under uncultured archaeon. Its description in RNAcentral is "bacterial SSU rRNA". It matches the Rfam family "Archaeal small subunit ribosomal RNA", at positions 85 to 879 of the family's 1478-position model. The record is from RNAcentral.
ACUGCUCAGUAACACGUAGUCAACCUGCCCUGGGGACGAGAAUAAUCUCGGGAAACUGAGGCUAAUGAGCGAUAGGUCAAGAUUCCUGGAAUGGGUUUUGGUCUAAACGGCGUGACAGCAUCUUGUCAUGUCCGCCCGAGGAUGGGACUGCGGCCGAUCAGGCUGUUGGUGGGGUAAUGGCCCACCAAACCAGUAACCGGUACGGGCUUUGAGAGAAGGAGCCCGGAGAUGGACACUGAGACAAGGGUCCAGGUCCUACGGGGCGCAGCAGGCGCGAAACCUUCGCAAUGCGCGCAAGCGCGACGAGGUUAUUCCGAGUGAUUUCCGCUGAGGAAAUCUUUUCUUAGAUCUAAAAAGUCUGGGGAAUAAGGGGAGGGCAAGUCUGGUGUCAGCCGCCGCGGUAAUACCAGCUCCUCGAGUGGUCAGGGCGUUUAUUGGGCCUAAAGCAUCCGUAGCCUGCUUGGUAGGUCUCCUGUUAAAUCCAACGACUCAAUCGUUGGUCUGCAGGAGAUACCGCUAGGCUAGGAGGCGGGAGAGGCGGACGGUACUCCGAGGGUAGGGGUAAAAUCCUUUGAUCCCCGGAAGACCACCAGUGGCGAAGGCGGUCCGCCAGAACGCGCUUGACGGUGAGGGAUGAAAGCUGGGGGAGCGAACCGGAUUAGAUACCCGGGUAGUCCCAGCUGUAAACGAUGCGAGCUAGGUGACACGACGCCUUCGGGGCAUCGUGGUGCCGCAGGGAAGCCGUUAAGCUCGCCGCCUGGGGAGUACGGUCGCAAGACUGAAACUUAAAGGAAUUGGCGGGGGAGCAC